RNAcentral lists this transfer RNA (96 nucleotides) under Coprinopsis marcescibilis. It matches the Rfam family "tRNA". Rfam says of the family: Transfer RNA (tRNA) molecules are approximately 80 nucleotides in length. Their secondary structure includes four short double-helical elements and three loops (D, anti-codon, and T loops). Further hydrogen bonds mediate the characteristic L-shaped molecular structure. tRNAs have two regions of fundamental functional importance: the anti-codon, which is responsible for specific mRNA codon recognition, and the 3' end, to which the tRNAs corresponding amino acid is attached (by aminoacyl-tRNA synthetases). tRNAs cope with the degeneracy of the genetic code in two manners: having more than one tRNA (with a specific anti-codon) for a particular amino acid; and 'wobble' base-pairing, i.e. permitting non-standard base-pairing at the 3rd anti-codon position. Lineage: Eukaryota; Fungi; Basidiomycota; Agaricomycetes; Agaricales; Psathyrellaceae. The record is from Rfam by way of RNAcentral.
GCAUCAAUGGGGUAGUGGUAACCUGGGUCGUUGCCAUUCGAGCUACAAUUUCGAUUCUGUCUCGACCCGCCGGGGGUUCGAUUCCCUCUUGAUGCA